GUAGGUGGCAAGCGUUGUCCGGAAUUAUUGGGCGUAAAGCGCGCGCAGGCGGUUCUUUAAGUCUGAUGUGAAAGCCCACGGCUCAACCGUGGAGGGUCAUUGGAAACUGGAGAACUUGAGUACAGAAGAGGAAAGCGGAAUUCCACGUGUAGCGGUGAAAUGCGUAGAGAUGUGGAGGAACACCAGUGGCGAAGGCGGCUUUUCUGGUCUGUAACUGACGCUGAGGUGCGAAAGCGUGGGGAGCAAACAGGGAUUAGAUACCCUGGUAGUCCACGCCGUAAACGAUGAGUGCUAAGUGUUAGGGGGUUUCCGCCCCCUUAGUGCUGCAGCUAACGCAUUAAGCACUCCGCCUGGGGAUACGGCCGCAAGGCUG
Molecule: ribosomal RNA, 373 nt
Filed under: uncultured organism
Description: partial 16S ribosomal RNA
Rfam family: Bacterial small subunit ribosomal RNA
Source: RNAcentral